Molecule: ribosomal RNA, 1068 nt
Filed under: uncultured bacterium
Lineage: Bacteria
Description: bacterial SSU rRNA
Rfam family: Bacterial small subunit ribosomal RNA
Source: RNAcentral
AGAGUUUGAUCAUGGCUCAGGACGAACGCUGGCGGCGUGCUUAACACAUGCAAGUCGAGCGAGGUCCAUCCAAUCGCAAGAUUGGGGAAGACCUAGCGGCGAACGGGUGAGUAACACGUGAGCAACCUGCCCCGAAGACUGGGAUAACACCGGGAAACCGGUGCUAAAACCGGAUGUCCUCCUCUGGUCGCAUGGCCUAAGGAGGAAAUACUGCAUCUAAAAAGUGCAGCUUGCUUCGGGAGGGGCUCGCGGGCUAUCAGCUUGUUGGUGAGGUAACGGCUCACCAAGGCGACGACGGCUAGCUGGUCUGAGAGGACGACCAGCCACACUGGGACUGAGACACGGCCCAGACUCCUACGGGAGGCAGCAGUGGGGAAUCUUGCGCAAUGGGCGAAAGCCUGACGCAGCAACGCCGCGUGGGGGAUGAAUGCCUUCGGGUUGUAAACCCCUUUCAGCAGGGACGAAAAUGACGGUACCUGCAGAAGAAGCCCCGGCCAACUACGUGCCAGCAGCCGCGGUAAUACGUAGGGGGCGAGCGUUGUCCGGAUUUAUUGGGCGUAAAGAGCUCGUAGGCGGCUUGGCAAGUCGGGUGUGAAACCUCCAGGCUCAACCUGGAGACGCCACUCGAGACUGCUAUGGCUAGGGUCCGGUAGGGGACCACGGAAUUCCUGGUGUAGCGGUGAAAUGCGCAGAUAUCAGGAGGAACACCGGUGGCGAAGGCGGUGGUCUGGGCCGGCACUGACGCUGAGGAGCGAAAGCGUGGGUAGCAAACAGGAUUAGAUACCCUGGUAGUCCACGCCGUAAACGUUGGGCACUAGGUGUGGGGCCUUAUCAACGGGUUCCGUGCCGUAGCUAACGCAUUAAGUGCCCCGCCUGGGGAGUACGGCCGCAAGGCUAAAACUCAAAGGAAUUGACGGGGGCUCGCACAAGCGGCGGAGCAUGUUGCUUAAUUCGAUGCAACGCGAAGAACCUUACCUGGGUUGAACUACGCAGGAAAAGCCACAGAGAUGUGGUGUCCGAAAGGGCCUGCGAUAGGUGGUGCAUGGCUGUCGUCAGCUCGGUCGGAGA